GAUGAACGCUGACAGAAUGCUUAACACAUGCAAGUCUACUUGAACUUCGGUUUGGGUGGCGGACGGGUGAGUAACGCGUAAAGAACUUGCCUCACAGUUAGGGACAACAUUUGGAAACGAAUGCUAAUACCUGAUAUUAUGAUUUUAGGGCAUCCUAAGAUUAUGAAAGCUAUAUGCGCUGUGAGAGAGCUUUGCGUCCCAUUAGCUAGUUGGAGAGGUAACGGCUCACCAAGGCGAUGAUGGGUAGCCGGCCUGAGAGGGUGAACGGCCACAAGGGGACUGAGACACGGCCCUUACUCCUACGGGAGGCAGCAGUGGGGAAUAUUGGACAAUGGACCAAAAGUCUGAUCCAGCAAUUCUGUGUGCACGAUGACGUUUUUCGGAAUGUAAAGUGCUUUCAGUUGGGAAGAAAAAAAUGACGGUACCAACAGAAGAAGUGACGGCUAAAUACGUGCCAGCAGCCGCGGUAAUACGUAUGUCACAAGCGUUAUCCGGAUUUAUUGGGCGUAAAGCGCGUCUAGGUGGUUAUGUAAGUCUGAUGUGAAAAUGCAGGGCUCAACUCUGUAUUGCGUUGGAAACUGCACAACUAGAGUACUGGAGAGGUAAGUGGAACUACAAGUGUAGAGGUGAAAUUCGUAGAUAUUUGUAGGAAUGCCGAUGGGGAAGCCAGCUUACUGGACAGAUACUGACGCUAAAGCGCGAAAGCGUGGGUAGCAAACAGG
Molecule: ribosomal RNA, 722 nt
Filed under: uncultured Fusobacterium sp.
Lineage: Bacteria; Fusobacteriati; Fusobacteriota; Fusobacteriia; Fusobacteriales; Fusobacteriaceae
Description: bacterial SSU rRNA
Rfam family: Bacterial small subunit ribosomal RNA
Source: RNAcentral